RNAcentral lists this ribosomal RNA (253 nucleotides) under uncultured bacterium. RNAcentral describes it as "partial 16S ribosomal RNA". It matches the Rfam family "Bacterial small subunit ribosomal RNA", at positions 524 to 776 of the family's 1533-position model. The record is from RNAcentral.
UACGGAGGGUGCGAGCGUUAAUCGGAUUUACUGGGCGUAAAGCGCGCGUAGGCGGUUUGGUAAGUCAGAUGUGAAAUCCCCGGGCUCAACCUGGGAACGGCAUUUGAUACUGUCAGACUCGAGUGUGGUAGAGGGAAGUGGAAUUCCGCAUGUAGCGGUGAAAUGCGUAGAUAUGCGGAGGAACACCAGUGGCGAAAGCGGCUUCCUAGACCAACACUGACGCUGAGGUGCGAAAGCGUGGGGAGCAAACAGG